AGAGUUUGAUCCUGGCUCAGGACGAACGCUGGCGGCGUGCCUAACACAUGCAAGUCGAGCGGGGACAUGCGACGGAUCGGAAGUUUUCGGAUGGAAGAGAAGAUGUAUGUUCUAGCGGCGGACGGGUGAGUAACGCGUGAGCAACCUGUCCUUCACAGGGGGAUAACACAGCGAAAGUUGUACUAAUACCGCAUAAGACCACAACGGGACAUCCCGAAGGGGUCAAAGGAGCAAUCCGGUGAAGGGUGGGCUCGCGUCCGAUUAGAUAGUUGGUGAGGUAACGGCCCACCAAGUCGACGAUCGGUAGCCGACCUGAGAGGGUGAUCGGCCAUAUUGGGACUGAGACACGGCCCAAACUCCUACGGGAGGCAGCAGUGGGGAAUAUUGGGCAAUGGGGGAAACCCUGACCCAGCAACGCCGCGUGAGGGAAGAAGGUUUUCGGAUCGUAAACCUCUGUCCUUGGUGAAGAGAAAGAGACGGUAGCCAAGGAGGAAGCCCCGGCUAACUACGUGCCAGCAGCCGCGGUAAUACGUAGGGGGCGAGCGUUGUCCGGAAUGAUUGGGCGUAAAGGGCGCGUAGGCGGCCCGGUAAGUCUGGAGUGAAAGUCCUGUUUUUAAGAUGGGAAUUGCUUUGGAUACUGUCGGGCUUGAGUGCAGGAGAGGUAAGUGGAAUUCCCAGUGUAGCGGUGAAAUGCGUAGAGAUUGGGAGGAACACCAGUGGCGAAGGCGACUUACUGGACUGUAACUGACGCUGAGGCGCGAAAGUGUGGGGAGCAAACAGGAUUAGAUACCCUGGUAGUCCACACUGUAAACGAUGAAUGCUAGGUGUAGGGGGUAUCGACCCCUUCUGUGCCGCAGUUAACACAAUAAGCAUUCCGCCUGGGGAGUACGGCCGCAAGGUUGAAACUCAAAGGAAUUGACGGGGGCCCGCACAAGCAGCGGAGCAUGUGGUUUAAUUCGACGCAACGCGAAGAACCUUACCAGGUCUUGACAUCCAACUAAGGUUUUAGAGAUAAGACUGUGCCCUUCGGGGAAAGUUGAGACAGGUGGUGCAUGGUUGUCGUCAGCUCGUGUCGUGAGAUGUUGGGUUAAGUCCCGCAACGAGCGCAACCCCUGCCAUUAGUUGCUACGCAAGAGCACUCUAAUGGGACCGCUACCGACAAGGUGGAGGAAGGUGGGGACGACGUCAAAUCAUCAUGCCCCUUAUGACCUGGGCUACACACGUAAUACAAUGGCCGUUAACAACGGGAAGCGAAACCGCGAGGUGGAGCGAAACCUUAAAAACGGUCUCAGUUCGGAUCGCAGGCUGCAACCCGCCUGCGUGAAGUUGGAAUUGCUAGUAAUCGCGGAUCAGCAUGCCGCGGUGAAUACGUUCCCGGGCCUUGUACACACCGCCCGUCACACCAUGGGAGUUUGUAACACCCGAAGUCUGUAGUUUAACCGCAAGGAGGACGCAGCCGAAGGUGGGAUAAGCGACUGGGGUGAAGUCGUAACAAGGUA
Molecule: ribosomal RNA, 1499 nt
Filed under: uncultured bacterium
Lineage: Bacteria
Description: bacterial SSU rRNA
Rfam family: Bacterial small subunit ribosomal RNA
Source: RNAcentral